CCCUAUGGGGCGCGGAUCACGGCGGUUCACAACUAUUUCAGUAACGCAGCGUGCGGCCUAACGCUGCAAUGCCGCGAUGGUGCCGGGACGCUUCUGGACGGGAUUACGCUACAGUACAACGGUAACGUCGGCAUUGGCGAUUCGUUCGCGACUGCCGGUUACAAGCUCACCGUAGGAAACGGCGAUUGCUAUUUGCGCAACAGCUAUGCGGGCAAUGGCGCGACCCCACCGGUGAGGAGAUUUUUCGCGACCACCCAGAACAACGGCGCGGCGGAUUGCGCUUCGGCCGGCAUGGAAGUGGCGUUUACUUGGUUGGCGAACACUGAUUACGCGAGCGAGCUGCGGUUUUAUACGACACCGGAUAACGUGGCGGCUGAGCGCAUGCGGAUCACUGGCGCUGGCAACGUUGGAAUUGGCGGGGGGGC
RNAcentral lists this ribosomal RNA (425 nucleotides) under uncultured prokaryote. RNAcentral's name for it is "partial 16S ribosomal RNA". The record is from RNAcentral.